Molecule: long non-coding RNA, 4511 nt
Organism: Equus caballus (horse)
Lineage: Eukaryota; Metazoa; Chordata; Mammalia; Perissodactyla; Equidae
Source: Ensembl
CGGGGAUGGGCGAGAGAGAAGGUCUCCACUCCCCCUCUCCUCCCACUCUCCAUCUCCUGCUGGGGCCUCCAUUGGCUGAACCCAGGAAUAAGUGAGCAAGGAGGCCCAAAAUGUGCAGUCCAAGGAUUUCAGCUUCUGACGGCACAGAGAAAGACAAGAGAGAGGCAUGGAUGGGGGUACAGUGGAGAUUAAUCAGCAAAGAGGAGUUGUGCCCGAGGGACUGACCCACAGAACCUUGUCUGGCCCUUCCCAUGGUGCAAGCUGUCCCUAGAGAAACUGCUUGGAAGGGCAGGGAACAGAUGCAAAAAGUUGUGGGGCUGUGCCAGGAGGAUGGGAGAACAGAAGGAAUCAUUACCAGAUGAUCCCUUGGAGACCAUGGAAGCUCUAUAGCAAAGAAACGAGAAGAUGAAACCAGAAAUGAAGGUGGAAGCCCGAAAGGCAGCCAGUGGCUAUAAUGUGGAAGAACAGAGAACAUGCAGCUGUUCAAGAAAACCACGCUCCCAUCCAGAAGGAGACAGAGCUGGACUCAGACAACAAGAGCUGAGGGGGAGCUAUGGAUUCACAGGGGAAGAGCAGGAAUUCACGGACCUCUUACCCAUCGCCAGCGCUGCCCAUCCCGGACAUGCCUGGGUUUCUCACGCAGCCUCCACACAGGCUGGACUGACGUGUCUCGCAGGCUCAUGACGUUUCUGCCAAAAGAAAGCUCUGCUUCUUCUCCAAAGACACUCACUCCAACAGAGGCUUUUCUUUUCUUUUCUUUUUAACACGGCGUGGAAUGGUCUGGAGCAGUGGUCACAGUAGAGACAUUUGUCAUGGCAGGGAAGGGUGCUGAUCAGGUGCAUGGGCAGACUGAGGCUCGGAGGCCUUCCAUGGCGCCUCUGAGAAGCGGUGCAGAUGCACUGGGGAGAGGCCGGCCUGGGCACCUGCCAGGAGCUGACAGGAACUUGAGUAGAAAUGAGGUCAGGAACCAGCCAGAAAGGGCAGCCAUUGCUGGUCCAAACGCUGCUGAAAAUUCACUCAGAGGGAAAAAAAGAAAUGAUCCCUUCCCUUCUUCAUGGGCAAAUCAUUGAAAAAUGAGAAGAGCUGCUCCUCACCCAGCAUGACUUCCGGAGAUGGAUGGUAUUUCAUGGAGUCAACCAGACAGGAAAUGAAUCAGAGUUUGAAAUAACACUAGCUACGAAAGAUCUUUCUUAAUUCUCUCCAGACUCGAGAACAAGGACUGUGUCAGUGUCUAGGAGAUGUAAGUUCUCUCUCGUGCACUGAGGAAUAAUGCCGAGGUCAACAGCCUGUCAGAGAGGUCUUGGAAUUGGGUGUUUUAGAAGCAUUGGAGCUCACACUUCAAUAUAAACCAUAACCACCUAUUUCUCUUUGCCAGAAAGACCCAGGGUUACAGAAACUAAGAGCUUUGCUUGGAAUGCCCUUUCUCAAAUGGAUGCUGGCACCACUGUCUGACCGUUUCUCCUAAUGAAAGAAUGAGAAGUCACAUCGCUUCAUGUGGGCUUCUUCCCCACAGCAGAUGGAGGGGCUUUCCCUACAGGACUGGACCUGCUCCAGCCAGCAGGCUGAGCAGGCGCUCAUGUGUCCAUCCAGGGGCAGGAGGGCUGGGGCAUGGAAGGGAACCACCAAAGGAAAAAGCCCCCACACAGGCCACCAGCAGAGUCCCCAUGAUCCCUGCAACCAUUUACAGUAUUUCUAAGGGCAGAGUGAGCCUGAGGUGUCAUCAGGUAGAGGGAACAUGCAAUAACAAUGGGAUUUGUUGCACAAAGAACAAAAGAGUAGAAGGUGGAGCCAAAGGGGCAGAGAGAAAGAGAAUAUGAGAAGAGAUGAGGGGCCAGAGGAUCUGUCGUGGUGGCAAGUCACUCGAGGCCUGCCCGCGCUCUGCAGGGGGCGGCACAGAGGCCAUGGAACAGAAGGGCUUGCAGACUAAACUAAGUUUCUCAAAUCAUACUUGUAUUGAACCAAUUUGAAAGACAGAGAGAACCCAGGGGAAGAGAUGGGGGAGGGUGGCACACUUAGGAUCGGGGCAACAGGUUGGGAGGACCACCCUCCCAAAUCUGGUUUUCUCCAGUGCCUCAGCCUUCCCUGCUGACAGCGUGGUUGUGAGGACCAGAGUCGAAGGUGGGCAAGAGGACUCGGCAGAUGGAAGGUGCCUGGAGUGAAUACACUUCCCUCCGUCAGAGCGAUGCUGGGUAAGUAUGCUGGGCUGGCCUCAGCUGAAGCUCACCAAUAACUGCUGAGCAGUCUACACUGCGCGUCUCGAGUAACUAAGGGGUGGCAGUAUCAGUCUGCUCUGGCUGCCAUAACAAAAUGCCACAGGCUGGACGGCUUAAACAACAGGAAUUCAUUUUCUCACAGUUCUGGAGACUGGACGUCCAAGAUCGAGGUGUCAGCAGGGUUGGUUCCUUCUCCAGGCUAUAAGGGAAGGAGCUGUUCCAGGCCAGAAUCAUAAUAGCAUUGUUUUUUAGAAAAAAGAAUGAUCAGAAAAUAAGAAAUAACUCUUGGAAACUACAAAUAUAAUAGUAGAAAUGAAAAGCUUGCAAGAAGACUUGAAAGAUCAAGUGAAGAAACAUUUCAAAAAGAAUAAAAGACAAGGAUAUUAAAAAUAGAGAAUAAGAAGCAGACUAGAGCGUGUAGUUAACUGCAAAAACCGUCGCAGCUCUCCAGCCCUCCCUGUAUCCGUGCUGUCUCAGUCAGCUCGGGCUCCACAAGAACAAUACCACAGGCUCGGGGGCUCAGACAACAAGCAUUAAUUCCUCACAGUUCUGGAGGGUGGAAGUCCAAGAGCAAGUUGCCCGCAGAUCUGGUGUCUGGUGAGGACCCACUUCCUGUGGUGUACAGAUGGCCGUCUUCUCAUAGUAUCCUCACGUGGCGGAGAGAGAGCUGAAUCAAGAUUUCUCAAGUCUCUUUAUAAUGACAUUAGUGCCAUCAUGAGAGCUCCACCCUCAUGACUUAACCACCUCCCAAAGUUCCCGUUUCUAAACACUGUCACUUUGGGGAUUAGCGUUUCAACACAUGAAUUUUUAGAAGGACACAAACAUUCAGUCUGUAGUACGUGUCCUUUGCAAUGUGACUUCACAGUUUCUACUGCAAAAGGUGGAGUGUCUUCCCCCCUCCCCUUGAAUCUGGGCUGACCUUGUAAUUUGCUUCAGCCAAUAGAAUGUGGCAGAAGUGACAUACAAGUUCUGAGCCAAGGCCUCGAGACCUUGCAUGUCCCUGCUUGUUUUCUUGAAAUCCUACUUAUUUGCCAUGUGAACAGACCCAGACUAGCCUGCUGGAAGAUGAGAGAGCAUGUGGAGGGAGAUGAGCUAUCCUGAGACCAUCUUAUACCAGCCAACUACCAGCAAGCCCGAUGGCUGACCACCGAUGUGUGAAUGAGCCACCAAGACUAGCAGGACUGCCCAGCUAAGCCCAAACCAAACUGAUGACCUCAAGAAUCUUCAGCUAAAUCAAUGGUGGUUGUUUCAAGCCACCAGACUGGGGGUAGUUUGUUACACAACAACAGCUAAUGGACAUAGAGCAUCGAUCCAGGAAGUCUAAAACCUCAAUAAUUAAAGUGUCAAGAAGGAAGAACAAAGGAGAAAAAGAGAAGGAAAUUGCCAAAACCAUAGUACAAGAAAAUUUCCCAGACUUACAUGAUGAGUUUCCAGAUUAAAAGGGUCCACUAAAUUUCCACAGUAAUAAAUGAAAAAAAUUCUACACUUGGGCCAUCAUUGUGAAAUGUCAGAAUACUAGAGAAAAAGAGAAGUUCCUAUAAACUUCCGGAAAUGAAAAAAAAAAUGGUCAUAUAAAAAGAACCUGGAAUAAAAAUGGCAUUAGAUUUCUCAGUGGCAAUGCUGAAAGCUAGAAGACAAUGGAGAAAACGCCUUCAAGAUUCUGAGGGGACAAUUCCCACCGAUAAGUCCAUACACAAAGUGUCAACCAAGUGUGAGGGUAUAGUAAAGACAUCUGCAGAUAUUCAAGGUCCCCAAAACGUACUGCCAUGCUUUCUCUCUCGGGAAGCUAUUGGAAGAUGUGGCUCAUCCAAAUGAGUAAGUCUACACCUGUACUUACUUAGGGGUUAAGUAUACUUGGGUGAGUAUACUUACACUUACCCCAAAGAACAAAAAACAUAUGUCCAUGCACAAACUGGCACAUGAAUUUCUUAGCAGCAUCAUUCAUAAUAGCCAAAAAGAGGAAAAACCCAAACGCCUACGAACUGAUGAAUGGAUGCACAAAAUGUGGUACAUGUAUACAAUGGAAUAUUAUUCAGUCAUGUGAAGGAAUGAAGGACUGACACAUGCUACAACAUGGAUGAACCUCGAAAACAUUAUGCUAAGUGAAAGAAACCAGAUACAAAAGGCCACAUGUUAUAUGUUCUAUUUAUUUGAAAUGUCCAGAAUGAGCAAAUCCAUAGAGACAGGAAGUAGAUUAGUGGUUUCCAAGAUGUGAAGGAGGGAGCAGUGAGGAGUGCCUGCUAAUGGGUAUGGGGUUUCUUUUUGGGGUGACUGAAAUGUUCUGGAAUUACAUAGUGG